CAAUAGCGUAUAUUAAAGUUGUUGCGGUUAAAAAGCUCGUAGUUGGAGUUCUGCCAGGUGCCGCCUGUCCGCCCCAGUGGUGAGUACGUGGCGCGCAUUUGGCCCUUUCAAGGGGAGCGUAUCUGCACUUUAUUGUGUGGUGCGGGAUCCUUGACUUUUACUUUGAGGAAAUAGGAGUGUUCCAAGCAGGCUCUCGUCGUGCACAGCUCAGCAUGGAAUAAUAGCAUUGGACCUCGAUUCUAAGCUGUUGGUUGCCAGAAGCGAGGUAAUGAUGAAGAGGGAUAGUUGGGGGCAUUCGUAUUUAACUGUCGGAGGUGAAAUUCUUGGAUUUGUUAAAGACGGACUACUGCGAAAACAUCUGCCAUGGAUGUUUUCAUUGA
Molecule: ribosomal RNA, 380 nt
Filed under: uncultured eukaryote
Lineage: Eukaryota
Description: partial 18S ribosomal RNA
Rfam family: Eukaryotic small subunit ribosomal RNA
Source: RNAcentral